This 429-nucleotide ribosomal RNA is filed under the name uncultured bacterium. RNAcentral's name for it is "bacterial SSU rRNA". It matches the Rfam family "Bacterial small subunit ribosomal RNA", at positions 51 to 526 of the family's 1533-position model. The record is from RNAcentral.
ACACAUGCAAGUCGACGAUGCCUUCGGGCAUAGUGGCGCACGGGUGCGUAACGCGUGGGAAUCUGCCCUUGGGUUCGGAAUAACAGUUAGAAAUGACUGCUAAUACCGGAUGAUGACGUUAAGUCCAAAGAUUUAUCGCCCGAGGAUGAGCCCGCGUAGGAUUAGCUAGUUGGUGUGGUAAAGGCGCACCAAGGCGACGAUCCUUAGCUGGUCUGAGAGGAUGAUCAGCCACACUGGGACUGAGACACGGCCCAGACUCCUACGGGAGGCAGCAGUGGGGAAUAUUGGACAAUGGGCGAAAGCCUGAUCCAGCAAUGCCGCGUGAGUGAUGAAGGCCUUAGGGUUGUAAAGCUCUUUUACCCGGGAUGAUAAUGACAGUACCGGGAGAAUAAGCUCCGGCUAACUCCGUGCCAGCAGCCGCGGUAAUAC